GGACCAAUCAAGGUGCAGGCUGCCGUUGUGGAUCCCGCCCUUCUCCCCCGGGUCUGCAGUACCGUUGGUUUUGCUCUAGAGAUCCGACGCGGUGAGACUGCUGAGCGGGGCAGCGCCAGAAGCCGUUAGGAAUCGUUGGCUCUUUCUGGCAGUUAUUUCAGCUUGUUCUUCGUAGAUAAAAGUGCCCCACGCAUCCGGAUUGAGACCCACUAUACGGUUGUCUGAAGUGUGUCGCACUGAGAUCGGUGAGCAUAUUCGGAGCCUUUUAUUUGUGUUUUUGUCGUUUGUUACAUUGUUGUUAAAAAAAAAAUAUCCGUUGUUUUAGUAACUAGGUAAUGUUUUGUUACUGUGUUGGAAAGAAGGAUUAAAGCUAGAACGGCUUGGUAAAGUCCUGUAUUUCUGCUGGUCCUGUCUGU
Xiphophorus couchianus (Monterrey platyfish) is the source of this 416-nucleotide long non-coding RNA. RefSeq lists it as uncharacterized. The transcript has 3 exons. The record is from RefSeq and is a predicted model, not a curated record. NCBI's taxonomy places the organism in Eukaryota, Metazoa, Chordata, Actinopteri, Cyprinodontiformes, Poeciliidae.